RNAcentral lists this transfer RNA (70 nucleotides) under Stegodyphus mimosarum. It matches the Rfam family "tRNA". From Rfam's summary of the family: Transfer RNA (tRNA) molecules are approximately 80 nucleotides in length. Their secondary structure includes four short double-helical elements and three loops (D, anti-codon, and T loops). The record is from Rfam by way of RNAcentral. Lineage: Eukaryota; Metazoa; Arthropoda; Arachnida; Araneae; Eresidae.
GCCUUCGUGAUGUAACGGUAGCACACUUGGCGCAUAUUCGAGCGGUCUAGGUUCAAAUCCAGCGAAGGCA